GUUGCUUUGUAGAACUGUUCCAGAAAACCUCACUAAACCACAUGGAGGGGCCUCAAGAUGUCCAAAUGAAACCGUACAAAAACCAAACGAGCACAACCCAAAUGCUAAAGUCUCCUGCAGCCUACCAGAGAACCUCUGAGAACAGAGAAUCAGGACAGGAACUCUUACCUUCUGGACAACCAACGCUGGUUCUCAAGCAAGAAUACAGGAUGUGUCUGACCAAAAACCUCUGAAGACUCACUACAGCCAAGAUAAAGACACAACUCAGCUGCACCAAAUCCACUAAUCACUGCACACAUUAGCACCAUGUGCUAACUGUGGCUAAAGAACCACAUUUACCAAGACAACUAUCCAGUACAAAGCCCUAAAACACACCAAGAAACACAUUAAAGACGAUUUUACUGCUGGAAGCUGCAAGCAAACGCCUAAAGAACAAACUGAAGCAAAGGAGUCAAACCCAGUUCACUGGUGAAGAGAAGCAGAGGAAAUGUUUGUCUGCAGCUAAAUAAAGCAGGAAGACACUGAGCUGCUCAGGUGUUCCUGAUAACACCAAGCUGCUCAGGUGUUCCUGAUAACACCUAGCAGCCACCUGGACAGCCAAUAGGAACACAGCUUAAUGGAAGUCCAGAGGGCUGGCUUAGUGAAGGAAAUUUAGUUUAAAGUUGAAGCAGAAAGUUAACAAAGAAAGUUGAAAACCACCUUCUGAUCCCUGAAAUCUCUG
This is a long non-coding RNA of Amphiprion ocellaris (clown anemonefish), 721 nucleotides long. Lineage: Eukaryota; Metazoa; Chordata; Actinopteri; Pomacentridae. The record is from Ensembl.